UGCGUAGGCGGAAAAUUAAGUCAGUGGUGAAAUCCUGCAGCUCAGCUGUAGAACUGUCAUUGAUACUGAUUUUCUUGAAUUUAGUUGAGGUAGGCGGAAUGUGUAAUGUAGCGGUGAAAUGCUUAGAUAUUACACAGAACACCGAUUGCGAAGGCAGCUUACUAAGCUAACAUUGACGCUGAGGCACGAAAGCGUGGGGAGCGAACAGGAUUAGAUACCCUGGUAGUCC
RNAcentral lists this ribosomal RNA (229 nucleotides) under uncultured bacterium. Its description in RNAcentral is "partial 16S ribosomal RNA". It matches the Rfam family "Bacterial small subunit ribosomal RNA", at positions 568 to 796 of the family's 1533-position model. The record is from RNAcentral.